UACGGAGGGUGCGAGCGUUGUCCGGAAUUACUGGGCGUAAAGGGCGCGUAGGCGGCCUUCUAAGUCGAACGUGAAAUCCCCGGGCUCAACCCGGGAACUGCGUCCGAUACUGGGAGGCUUGAAUCCGGGAGAGGGAUGUGGAAUUCCAGGUGUAGCGGUGAAAUGCGUAGAUAUCUGGAGGAACACCGGUGGCGAAGGCGGCAUCCUGGACCGGUAUUGACGCUGAGGCGCGAAAGCCAGGGGAGCAAACGGG
RNAcentral lists this ribosomal RNA (253 nucleotides) under uncultured bacterium. RNAcentral's name for it is "partial 16S ribosomal RNA". It matches the Rfam family "Bacterial small subunit ribosomal RNA", at positions 524 to 776 of the family's 1533-position model. The record is from RNAcentral.